Molecule: unclassified non-coding RNA, 422 nt
Filed under: Melicope retusa
Lineage: Eukaryota; Viridiplantae; Streptophyta; Magnoliopsida; Sapindales; Rutaceae
Description: contains 5' external transcribed spacer, ETS
Source: RNAcentral
UGCUUGUGCAUCGAACUGUUGACACUCCMMCUGUUUCAAUCUUUCCCCAAGUGAAGCUAUUUUCUUGUGGGCUCGUGUGGUAUCCUGUGUUGCUUGCCAAUGAAAUGGAAUUUCAUAGUCUUGUUAUGUGAAUUCGCCUUGUGCUUUUUGGGGUGCGAGGUGGACAUUCGGUGAGCACCGUGUUCCUAACAUGCCAAAUGCAUUGGUGUUUGGUUGUUGUGGCCUAUGGUGYCUUUGCUUGUUCUCUCGGAUGCGGAAAGUUAAGUGUGGGUGUGAGGUCUCGACCUUGAACCAUCCCAGCACUGUCUCUUUGACCGGAAUGACUGCUGCGCCUGUCUUGAUCUUCCCGACCAAGGCCUCGUAAAGGGGCUUACUGGACGAGGGUGGAUCAUGCAGGUGUUGGCGUCAAAGWGGAAAGCUAC